Molecule: ribosomal RNA, 897 nt
Filed under: Gliocephalotrichum longibrachium
Lineage: Eukaryota; Fungi; Ascomycota; Sordariomycetes; Hypocreales; Nectriaceae
Description: LSU rRNA
Rfam family: Eukaryotic large subunit ribosomal RNA
Source: RNAcentral
GCAUAUCAAUAAGCGGAGGAAAAGAAACCAACAGGGAUUGCCCUAGUAACGGCGAGUGAAGCGGCAACAGCUCAAAUUUGAAAUCUGGCCCUCGGGUCCGAGUUGUAAUUUGUAGAGGAUGCUUUUGGUGCGGUACCUUCCGAGUUCCCUGGAACGGGACGCCAUAGAGGGUGAGAGCCCCGUCUGGUUGGAUACCAAUCCUCUGUAAAGCUCCUUCGACGAGUCGAGUAGUUUGGGAAUGCUGCUCUAAAUGGGAGGUAUAUGUCUUCUAAAGCUAAAUAUUGGCCAGAGACCGAUAGCGCACAAGUAGAGUGAUCGAAAGAUGAAAAGCACUUUGAAAAGAGAGUUAAAAAGUACGUGAAAUUGUUGAAAGGGAAGCGCUUAUGACCAGACUUGGGCUUGGUUGAUCAUCCUGGGUUCUCCCUGGUGCACUCUUCCAGUUCAGGCCAGCAUCAGUUUGCUUCGGGGGAUAAAGGCUUCGGGAAUGUGGCUCCUCCGGGAGUGUUAUAGCCCGUUGUGUAAUACCCUGGAGCAGACUGAGGUUCGCGCAUCUGCAAGGAUGCUGGCGUAAUGGUCAUCAGCGACCCGUCUUGAAACACGGACCAAGGAGUCGUCUUCGUAUGCGAGUGUUCGGGUGUUAAACCCCUACGCGUAAUGAAAGUGAACGCAGGUGAGAGCUUCGGCGCAUCAUCGACCGAUCCUGAUGUUCUCGGAUGGAUUUGAGUAAGAGCAUACGGGGCCGGACCCGAAAGAAGGUGAACUAUGCCUGUAUAGGGUGAAGCCAGAGGAAACUCUGGUGGAGGCUCGCAGCGGUUCUGACGUGCAAAUCGAUCGUCAAAUAUGGGCAUGGGGGCGAAAGACUAAUCGAACCUUCUAGUAGCUGGUUUCCGCCGAAGU